Molecule: microRNA, 24 nt
Filed under: Pristionchus pacificus
Lineage: Eukaryota; Metazoa; Nematoda; Chromadorea; Rhabditida; Neodiplogasteridae
Description: ppc-miR-2235a-5p
Source: miRBase by way of RNAcentral
UCAUUCAAUAUUGCCGGUUUGAAC